GGUGGGAUAGGGUGGGUUUUGUGUUCCUUCAGAAAAUCACGCACUGAACAAAUCACGAAAAGCAUGCAAUUUUAUACCAAAUAAAAGCGGGAAAACUGCUUACGAAAUUAUGUAGGUAAAUGAAAGACGCUCAAGUCCUUCAAAACUAAAGAAAAGAUAACUCUGGUUAAGCAGACGAUAAUCUUAAUUUAUUAAAUUGAUUUAAU
This 206-nucleotide long non-coding RNA is filed under the name Mytilus galloprovincialis (Mediterranean mussel). Lineage: Eukaryota; Metazoa; Mollusca; Bivalvia; Mytilida; Mytilidae. The record is from RNAcentral.